Molecule: transfer RNA, 75 nt
Filed under: Prevotellaceae bacterium
Lineage: Bacteria; Pseudomonadati; Bacteroidota; Bacteroidia; Bacteroidales; Prevotellaceae
Description: tRNA-Met
Rfam family: tRNA
About the family: Transfer RNA (tRNA) molecules are approximately 80 nucleotides in length. Their secondary structure includes four short double-helical elements and three loops (D, anti-codon, and T loops).
Source: RNAcentral
CGCGGAGUAGAGCAGUGGCAGCUCGUCAGGCUCAUAACCUGAAGGUCGUUGGUUCGAAUCCUUCCUCCGCUACCA